CCUACGGGAGGCAGCAGUGAGGAAUAUUGGACAAUGGGCGCAAGCCUGAUCCAGCCAUGCCGCGUGCAGGAAGAAGCAUCUAUGGUGUGUAAACUGCUUUUGUACGGGAAGAAACACUCCGACGUGUCGGAGCUUGACGGUACCGUAAGAAUAAGGAUCGGCUAACUCCGUGCCAGCAGCCGCGGUAAUACGGAGGAUCCAAGCGUUAUCCGGAAUCAUUGGGUUUAAAGGGUCCGUAGGCGGUUUAAUAAGUCAGUGGUGAAAGCCCAUCGCUUAACGAUGGAACGGCCAUUGAUACUGUUAGACUUGAAUUAUUGGGAAGUAACUAGAAUAUGUAGUGUAGCGGUAGAAAUGCUUAGAUAUUACAUGGAAUACCAAUUGCGAAGGCAGGUUACUAUCAAUAUAUUGACGCUGAUGGACGAAAGCGUGGGGAGCGAACAGGAUUAGAUACCCUGGUAGUCCACGCCGUAAACGAUGGAUACUAGCUGUUCGGAGCAAUCUGAGUGGCUAAGCGAAAGUGAUAAGUAUCCCACUGGGGAGUACGUUCGCAAGAAUGAAACUCAAAUGAAAUUGACGGCUGAGACGAGCGACGGACGACACGAGGGAGGAGG
RNAcentral lists this ribosomal RNA (611 nucleotides) under uncultured bacterium. RNAcentral's name for it is "bacterial SSU rRNA". It matches the Rfam family "Bacterial small subunit ribosomal RNA", at positions 338 to 953 of the family's 1533-position model. The record is from RNAcentral.